This 301-nucleotide ribosomal RNA is filed under the name uncultured bacterium. Its description in RNAcentral is "partial 16S ribosomal RNA". It matches the Rfam family "Bacterial small subunit ribosomal RNA", at positions 509 to 808 of the family's 1533-position model. The record is from RNAcentral.
CAGCACACGGGAAUACGAAGGGUGCAAGCGUUAAUCGGAAUUACUGGGCGUAAAGCGUGUGUAGGUGGUUGUCUAAGUCUGUCGUGAAAGCCCUGGGCUCAACCUGGGAAUUGCGAUGGAUACUGGGCGACUAGAGUGCGGUAGAGGAUAGUGGAAUUUCCGGUGUAGCAGUGAAAUGCGUAGAGAUCGGAAGGAACAUCUGUGGCGAAGGCGACUAUCUGGGCCAACACUGACACUGAGACACGAAAGCGUGGGGAGCAAACAGGAUUAGAUACCCCCCGUAGUCCCUGUCUCUUAUACA